This 78-nucleotide transfer RNA is filed under the name Alphaproteobacteria bacterium. RNAcentral's name for it is "tRNA-Met". It matches the Rfam family "tRNA". Rfam says of the family: Transfer RNA (tRNA) molecules are approximately 80 nucleotides in length. Lineage: Bacteria; Pseudomonadati; Pseudomonadota; Alphaproteobacteria. The record is from RNAcentral.
CGCAGUGUGGAGCAGUCCGGUAGCUCGUCAGGCUCAUAACCUGAAGGUCGCAGGUUCAAAUCCUGCCACUUGCAACCA